RNAcentral lists this ribosomal RNA (508 nucleotides) under uncultured Chloroflexota bacterium. Its description in RNAcentral is "bacterial SSU rRNA". It matches the Rfam family "Bacterial small subunit ribosomal RNA", at positions 373 to 896 of the family's 1533-position model. The record is from RNAcentral. Lineage: Bacteria; Bacillati; Chloroflexota.
GGGCGAAAGCCUGAAGCAGCAACGCCGCGUGUGUGAUGAAGGCCUUCGGGUCGUAAAGCACUUUUCUGGGAGAUGAGAAAGGACAGUAUCCCAGGAAUAAGUCUCGGCUAACUACGUGCCAGCAGCCGCGGUAAAACGUAGGAGGCAAGCGUUAUCCGGAUUCACUGGGCGUAAAGCGCGUGCAGGCGGUGUGGUAAGUUGGGCGUGAAAGCUCCCGGCUCAACUGGGAGAGGUCGUCCAAUACUACCGUACUUGAGAGCAGAAGAGGAAGAUGGAAUUCCCGGUGUAGUGGUGAAAUGCGUAGAUAUCGGGAGGAACACCAGUGGCGAAGGCGGUCUUCUGGUCUGUUUCUGACGCUCAGACGCGACAGCUAGGGUAGUAAACGGGAUUAGAGACCCCGGUAAUCCUAGCCGUAAACGAUGUGAACUUGGCGUUGGUGGGUUAAACUCCAUCAGUGCCGUAGCAAACGCGAUAAGUUCACCGCCUGGGGACUACGGCCGCAAGGUUA